CUGAACCAGCGACGCCCUCCAUUCACUCUCCGCGCCCGCUUUCCGGCUGUCCGCCCGUUCCGCUGCCCGCCCCGCCACCAUGACGGAACAGGCCAUCUCCUUCGCGAAGGACUUCUUGGCCGGAGGCAUCGCCGCCGCCAUCUCCAAGACGGCCGUGGCUCCGAUCGAGCGGGUCAAGCUGCUGCUGCAGCAGGGCGGAAUGUCCCAGCGCUUCUAGAGGCCCAGGGAGGAUCACCUGAGCUCAGGAGUUUGAGAGCAGGUUGGUCAUCGUAGCAAGACUCCAUCUCUAAAAGUCCAGCACGCCAGCAAGCAGAUCGCUGCCGACAAGCAGUACAAGGGCAUCGUGGACUGCAUCGUCCGCAUCCCCAAGGAGCAGGGCGUGCUGUCCUUCUGGAGGGGCAACCUGGCCAACGUCAUCCGCUACUUCCCCACUCAAGCCCUCAACUUCGCCUUCAAGGAUAAGUACAAGCAGAUCUUCCUGGGGGGCGUGGACAAGCACACGCAGUUCUGGAGGUACUUUGCGGGCAACCUGGCCUCCGGCGGCGCGGCCGGCGCGACCUCCCUCUGCUUCGUGUACCCGCUGGAUUUCGCCAGAACCCGCCUGGCAGCGGACGUGGGAAAGUCAGGCACAGAGCGCGAGUUCCGAGGCCUGGGAGACUGCCUGGUGAAGAUCACCAAGUCCGACGGCAUCCGGGGCCUGUACCAGGGCUUCAGCGUCUCCGUGCAGGGUAUCAUCAUCUACCGGGCGGCCUACUUCGGCGUGUACGAUACGGCCAAGGGCAUGCUCCCCGACCCCAAGAACACGCACAUCGUGGUGAGCUGGAUGAUCGCGCAGACCGUGACAGCCGUGGCCG
This 854-nucleotide small RNA is filed under the name Pongo abelii (Sumatran orangutan). RNAcentral describes it as "processed transcript". Lineage: Eukaryota; Metazoa; Chordata; Mammalia; Primates; Hominidae. The record is from RNAcentral.